AACUGGGAUUAGAUACCCCACUAUUCUUGAAGAUAAAUAAAUUUAUACCAGGGCACUACGAAUGAUUUUUAGAUUUAAAACCCAAAGAGCUUGGCGGUGUUUUAGACUAUUUAGGGGAACUUGUUUCAUAAUCGAUAAUCCACGAUAGACCUAACCUUCUUUUGUAACCAGUAUGUAUACCGUUGUCGUCAGGUAACUUUUUAAAAUAAAAAAGUUAGCGAAAAAGCCAUAAGCUUAUACGUCAAAUCAAGGUACAGCCUAUAAAGGGGGAGAGAAUGAGUUACAAUUAAAAUUCAUAAUAACGGAAUAGAAAAAGAAAAUUUCUCUGAAGGCGGACUUAAAAGUAAAAAAAUUAUUAUAGAAAUUUUUUGAAUUGAGCUCUGAAACGUGCACACACCGCCCGUCA
This 406-nucleotide ribosomal RNA is filed under the name Oncomelania hupensis hupensis. Its description in RNAcentral is "partial small subunit ribosomal RNA". It matches the Rfam family "Microsporidia small subunit ribosomal RNA", at positions 653 to 1201 of the family's 1311-position model. The record is from RNAcentral. Lineage: Eukaryota; Metazoa; Mollusca; Gastropoda; Littorinimorpha; Pomatiopsidae.